UGGGGAAUAUUGGACAAUGGACCAAAAGUCUGAUCCAGCAAUUCUGUGUGCACGAUGACGUUUUUCGGAAUGUAAAGUGCUUUCAGUUGGGAAGAAAAAAAUGACGGUACCAACAGAAGAAGUGACGGCUAAAUACGUGCCAGCAGCCGCGGUAAUACGUAUGUCACAAGCGUUAUCCGGAUUUAUUGGGCGUAAAGCGCGUCUAGGUGGUUAUGUAAGUCUGAUGUGAAAAUGCAGGGCUCAACUCUGUAUUGCGUUGGAAACUGCAUGACUAGAGUACUGGAGAGGUAAGCGGAACUACAAGUGUAGAGGUGAAAUUCGUAGAUAUUUGUAGGAAUGCCGAUGGGGAAGCCAGCUUACUGGACAGAUACUGACGCUAAAGCGCGAAAGCGUGGGUAGCAAACAGGAUUAGAUACCCUGGUAGUCCACGCCGUANCGAUGAUUACUAGGUGUUGGGGGUCGAACCUCAGCGCCCAAGCUAACGCGAUAAGUAAUCCGCCUGGGGAGUACGUACGCNAGUAUG
RNAcentral lists this ribosomal RNA (523 nucleotides) under uncultured bacterium. RNAcentral's name for it is "bacterial SSU rRNA". It matches the Rfam family "Bacterial small subunit ribosomal RNA", at positions 355 to 896 of the family's 1533-position model. The record is from RNAcentral.